GAUGAAUGCUGGCGGCGUGCCUAACACAUGCAAGUCGAGCGGCAGCGCAGUCUUCGGACUGGCGGCGAGCGGCGGACGGCUGAGUAACGCGUGGGAACGUACCCCAAAGUGAGGAAUAACUGCCCGAAAGGGUAGCUAAUGCCGCAUAUGGUCUUCGGAUUAAAGGAUUUAUCCGCUUUGGGAACGGCCUGCGUGCGAUUAGAUUGUUGGUGAGGUAAUGGCUCACCAAGUCGACGAUCGUUAACUGGUCUGAGAGGAUGAUCAGUCAGACUGGAACUGAGACACGGUCCAGACUCCUACGGGAGGCAGCAGUGAGGAAUCUUCCACAAUGGGCGAAAGCCUGAUGGAGCAACGCCGCGUGCAGGAUGAAGGCCUUCGGGUCGUAAACUGCUUUUAUAAGUGAAGAAUAUGACGGUAACUUAUGAAUAAGCACCGGCUAACUACGUGCCAGCCGCCGCAGUA
Molecule: ribosomal RNA, 462 nt
Filed under: uncultured bacterium
Lineage: Bacteria
Description: partial 16S ribosomal RNA
Rfam family: Bacterial small subunit ribosomal RNA
Source: RNAcentral